CUUACCUAUCAUGGGCCAUGUCCUCGGAAACCCGCAUUCUAGCCAUGUCAUGCCUAAUCACCUCUCCCCAAUACCUCUUAGGCCUCCCUCUGCCUCGCCGAACGCCGCGAACCACCUCAGCCUCGAUUCUCGCAUCUUCUCAUCCACCGGGGCCACCCUCACCUUCUCUCGAAUAAUUUCAUUCUUAAUCUUAUCUAACCUGGUGAACCCGCACAUCCACCGGAGCAUCCUCAUCUCCGCAACCUUCAGUCUCUGAACAUGAGAGUUCUUCACUGGCCAGCACUCCGCCCCAUACA
This 296-nucleotide long non-coding RNA is filed under the name Nicotiana benthamiana. RNAcentral describes it as "long non-coding RNA (NBEN_LNC010694)". The record is from RNAcentral. Lineage: Eukaryota; Viridiplantae; Streptophyta; Magnoliopsida; Solanales; Solanaceae.